GCCUCCAAUCCAACUCCAAGAAUCAUUGGACCGAUGACUGUGAUUCGACGAGGGCUUCAUUUCCUUGGCCGACCCUCCUUAUCUUCUUUGUGCCAGUUCUCAAAUCCCAUUUCCUUCUCUUCACUCUUCACAAAUCACAAGAACAAGAAGUUGCUCAUUUUCAACCCUAAAGGCCUAAUUUAUUGCCCUUUUUCAGUAUUCGUUACCUCUCUUUUUUGUGCCGAUCAUCAAUUUAUUGCCUGUCUUCUUCGAUUUGAUCAUGGAAUGUUUAUUAUGUAAUUAAUUUUUUCUUGUCAAGAUUCAUGACAGAGUAAACUCCUUGAAAAAUUACAAUUUCUCUUACUUAGCUUGUGUACGUAGUUUUAUUUCAGGUAGAUUGAUGUUAAGAAGGGCCUUUGACUACAAUUAUCUCAAUCAGAGUGUUGCUGUCUUGCUGAUGAAGGUUUGCCUCAUUUUUCCUUUGGUCGUGCUUCCCAACUCUUGUGUUUCUUCUAUUUUAUUACUAUUGAAAAAAUAAAAACAUCUAUUGAUUAGCAAAGAUGUUAUAUGUCAGUUGUCCUGUUGCUAAUGAUAUAUUUGAUGAACUGUCAAAUCCCAAAUGGAGCCAUAACAUUAGUACAUAAAUCAUACGUAGCAGUCUAGUAACCAGAUUUUUGUUUUCCUUUACUUGUGCUCAUGUUCAAUCGUACGUUAUUUGAAGACCUUAUGCACAUGAUUGGUGCCAUAGAUAUUUUAGGUUCGUUGUUUUUGUGAGAUAGUAGUAAGGUGAACAAUAUCAAUUGAAAUGAAUUUUGUCUCUGGUUUGGUUUGGUUUCCACGUUUUGAUUUUGGUUUCCGCUUUUGGUUUUGUAUUGGUGGUUGAUGCCAAAUAUUUAUUUCAGGCUUGUGAAUUGUGACGACAGAAUUCUCAACGACGUGAUUCCAUCAUUUUCGUCGAAAUUCUACUUCUCAUGUAAGUAAUGGCUUGCCCUAACUUGUUAUUAAAUAUAUUGAAAAUGUUUGAAGCCUUAUCGGCUUAUAUAAUUGUGGCAUGGUUGGUUUAUAUGAUUGGUUAUUGUAGAAUCAAUUGCUCAGGCGCACAUAGUAACUAUAUUGAAAACUUUAAUUGUGAAAUGAUUGAAAUAUUUUGUGAAAAGAAGUUUCUCCAAUUGAAGUUGAUCAAGACUUACCUCCGAUCAACUAGGUCACAAGAAAAAUUGAACAGAUUAGCUAUGCUAUCAAUAGAGAAAGAAAUUGUUGAAUAACUAAAUUAUUCAGAUUUGAUUAAUGUUUUUGUCUCUAAAACAACAAGGCAAAUAGUAUUUAAAUGAUUAUUUGAAACAUUGUUAGUUUUGUUAUUUUAUAAUAUAAAUAUUUUGUAUAAUAUAUUUAUUUGUUGUUUUACUAUUAAAUUUUAAGUUAGCGAUAUAUUGUAUAAUACAUAAUAUGUUUUGUUGGAUUUUGCAUUUAAGUUGAUUUUGGGGGCCUAAUUUUUGAAGUUCGCCUCAGGCUCCAAAAAUCACAGGACCGGCAUUGCUUGCCACCACCCACACAACGUUGGCACCUCCAUCCCCGAUAUGACUCCCCAUUCCCACACUUGGCUCCACCACCUCUCAACAUCAAUGAGGAAAUCUCGAAACAUGCAAUCCGAGUUGAGAAGAAAGUUUUGAAAUAGGGAUCAAAUCUUCAUCUAAACCCAAAUCUCAAUCAUCAAAUACAGUACCAAUUGGUAAUGGAGUCAAGCUUCUGUUGAGUUCAAGAACUGAGUUUGACUCAUAUGAUGAGGUAAUGGAGACAGUGUUGGUCCAU
Molecule: long non-coding RNA, 1788 nt
Filed under: Olea europaea (common olive)
Lineage: Eukaryota; Viridiplantae; Streptophyta; Magnoliopsida; Lamiales; Oleaceae
Description: long non-coding RNA (OEUR_LNC011343)
Source: RNAcentral